UCGAGGAUCUUUAGCAAUGGGGGAAACCCUGACUAUGCGACGCCGCGUGAGGGAUGAAGUAUUUCGGUACGUAAACCUCUUUCGAUGGGGAAGAACUGCCUUAGCAAUAAUACGGCUAAGGACUGACGGUACCCAGAGAAGAAGCCACGGCCAACUCCGUGCCAGCAGCCGCGGUAAUACGGGGGUGGCGAGCGUUACUCGGAUUCAUUGGGUGUAAAGGACAGGUAGGCGGCUAUGUAAGUUGGAGGUGAAAUCCUGCGGCUCAACCGCAGAACUGCCUUCAAGACUGCAUGGCUUGAGGCCAGAAGAGGAGAGCGGAAUUCCCGGUGUAAGGGUGAAAUCUGUAGAUAUCGGGAGGAACACCAGUGGCGAAAGCGGCUCUCUGGUCUGGCCCUGACGC
This 400-nucleotide ribosomal RNA is filed under the name uncultured bacterium. RNAcentral's name for it is "bacterial SSU rRNA". It matches the Rfam family "Bacterial small subunit ribosomal RNA", at positions 355 to 746 of the family's 1533-position model. The record is from RNAcentral.